UACAGAGGUCCCAAGCGUUGUUCGGAUUCACUGGGCGUAAAGGGUGCGUAGGCGGUCGGGUAAGUCUGAUGUGAAAUCUCACAGCUUAACUGUGAAACUGCAUUGGAUACUAUCCGGCUCGAGGAAUGGAGGGGAGACUGGAAUACUUGGUGUAGCGGUGAAAUGCGUAGAUAUCAAGUGGAACACCAGUGGCGAAGGCGAGUCUCUGGACAUUUCCUGACGCUGAGGCACGAAAGCGUGGGGAGCAAACAGG
Molecule: ribosomal RNA, 253 nt
Filed under: uncultured bacterium
Lineage: Bacteria
Description: partial 16S ribosomal RNA
Rfam family: Bacterial small subunit ribosomal RNA
Source: RNAcentral